UGGCUCAAUGGUAGAGCGUUCGACUCAAAUAUGAUAGGUCGUGGGUUCGAAUCCCAC
Molecule: transfer RNA, 57 nt
Filed under: Schistocephalus solidus
Lineage: Eukaryota; Metazoa; Platyhelminthes; Cestoda; Diphyllobothriidea; Diphyllobothriidae
Rfam family: tRNA
About the family: Transfer RNA (tRNA) molecules are approximately 80 nucleotides in length. Their secondary structure includes four short double-helical elements and three loops (D, anti-codon, and T loops).
Source: Rfam by way of RNAcentral